This 81-nucleotide non-coding RNA is filed under the name unclassified sequences. The record is from Rfam.
ACAAUGAUACUUCCGUCCAGCCACAGACUCACGCAAUGGGGGCGGUCACGAGAGAACCUCGUGAUGGUGGGAUUCCAAUGA